GCAUAUCAAUAAGCGGAGGAAAAGAAACCAACAGGGAUUGCCCUAGUAACGGCGAGUGAAGCGGCAACAGCUCAAAUUUGAAAUCUGGCGUCUUUGGCGUCCGAGUUGUAAUUUGCAGAGGGCGCUUUGGCAUCGGCAGCGGUCCAAGUUCCUUGGAACAGGACGUCACAGAGGGUGAGAAUCCCGUACGUGAUCGCUAGCCUUUACCGUGUAAAGCCCCUUCGACGAGUCGAGUUGUUUGGGAAUGCAGCUCUAAAUGGGAGGUAAAUUUCUUCUAAAGCUAAAUACUGGCCAGAGACCGAUAGCGCACAAGUAGAGUGAUCGAAAGAUGAAAAGCACUUUGGAAAGAGAGUUAAAAAGCACGUGAAAUUGUUGAAAGGGAAGCGCUUGCAGCCAGACUUGCCUGUAGUUGCUCAUCCGGGUUUCUACCCGGUGCACUCUUCUAUAGGCAGGCCAGCAUCAGUUUGGGCGGUUGGAUAAAGGUCUCUGUCAUGUACCUCUCUUCGGGGAGAACUUAUAGGGGAGACGACAUGCAACCAGCCCGGACUGAGGUCCGCGCAUCUGCUAGGAUGCUGGCGUAAUGGCUGUAAGCGGCCCGUCUUGAAACACGGACCAAGGAGUCUAACAUCUAUGCGAGUGUUUGGGUGUCAAGCCCGAACGCGUAAUGAAAGUGAACGGAGGUGGGAACCUUUCGGGGUGCACCAUCGACCGAUCCUGAUGUCUUCGGAUGGAUUUGAGUAAGAGCAUAGCUGUUGGGACCCGAAAGAUGGUGAACUAUGCUUGAAUAGGGUGAAGCCAGAGGAAACUCUGGUGGAGGCUCGCAGCGGUUCUGACGUGCAAAUCGAUCGUCAAAUUUGGGCAUAGGGGCGAAAGACUAAUCGAACUAUCUAGUAGCUGGUUCCUGCCGA
This 908-nucleotide ribosomal RNA is filed under the name Rhynchodiplodia ursusiformae. RNAcentral's name for it is "LSU rRNA". It matches the Rfam family "Eukaryotic large subunit ribosomal RNA", at positions 38 to 964 of the family's 3401-position model. The record is from RNAcentral. Lineage: Eukaryota; Fungi; Ascomycota.